RNAcentral lists this transfer RNA (73 nucleotides) under Diaphorina citri (Asian citrus psyllid). It matches the Rfam family "tRNA". From Rfam's summary of the family: Transfer RNA (tRNA) molecules are approximately 80 nucleotides in length. Their secondary structure includes four short double-helical elements and three loops (D, anti-codon, and T loops). The record is from Rfam by way of RNAcentral. Lineage: Eukaryota; Metazoa; Arthropoda; Insecta; Hemiptera; Psyllidae.
GCCUAGUUAGCUUAGUUGGUGGCGCGUCUGCCUUGUAAGCGCUAGGCCGCGGGUUUGAUUCCCGCCCGGGGCG